UGCAGUCGAGCGAACUGAUUAGAAGCUUGCUUCUAUGACGUUAGCGGCGGACGGGUGAGUAACACGUGGGCAACCUGCCUGUAAGACUGGGAUAACUUCGGGAAACCGAAGCUAAUACCGGAUAGGAUCUUCUCCUUCAUGGGAGAUGAUUGAAAGAUGGUUUCGGCUAUCACUUACAGAUGGGCCCGCGGUGCAUUAGCUAGUUGGUGAGGUAACGGCUCACCAAGGCAACGAUGCAUAGCCGACCUGAGAGGGUGAUCGGCCACACUGGGACUGAGACACGGCCCAGACUCCUACGGGAGGCAGCAGUAGGGAAUCUUCCGCAAUGGACGAAAGUCUGACGGAGCAACGCCGCGUGAGUGAUGAAGGCUUUCGGGUCGUAAAACUCUGUUGUUAGGGAAGAACAAGUACGAGAGUAACUGCUCGUACCUUGACGGUACCUAACCAGAAAGCCACGGCUAACUACGUGCCAGCAGCCGCGGUAAUACGUAGGUGGCAAGCGUUAUCCGGAAUUAUUGGGCGUAAAGCGCGCGCAGGCGGUUUCUUAAGUCUGAUGUGAAAGCCCACGGCUCAACCGUGGAGGGUCAUUGGAAACUGGGGAACUUGAGUGCAGAAGAGAAAAGCGGAAUUCCACGUGUAGCGGUGAAAUGCGUAGAGAUGUGGAGGAACACCAGUGGCGAAGGCGGCUUUUUGGUCUGUAACUGACGCUGAGGCGCGAAAGCGUGGGGAGCAA
RNAcentral lists this ribosomal RNA (733 nucleotides) under Priestia aryabhattai. RNAcentral describes it as "bacterial SSU rRNA". It matches the Rfam family "Bacterial small subunit ribosomal RNA", at positions 56 to 771 of the family's 1533-position model. The record is from RNAcentral. Lineage: Bacteria; Bacillati; Bacillota; Bacilli; Caryophanales; Bacillaceae.